CACAUGGCAUAUGGGGUCUUAGUUCCAGAACCGAGGAUUGAAUCUGUGCCCCCUGCAGUGGAAGCACAGAUUCUUAAUCGCUGAACCACUGGGAAAUCCCCAGACGUUUGUUUUUCAAAACCUACCAGGAGGAAGCAUGAACGCAGUUCCUCCCUACUACAAAUUAUGCAGCCGAGUUCCCCACGUUUGGGGAAAUGGCAGGGGUCAGCACACCUGGAGUGCAAUGGAUGAGCCUUGCCCUGGGAAAACCACCUUCAUGCUCAUGGUAUCUCCCCUGCUGGUUUAAGGAGACCAAAGAGAUGUAAACAUUAAUUCCAGGGCAGAAGACCUGAAUAUACAUUUUUCCAAAGAAGACAUAGAAAUGGCUAUUUGGCAUGUGAAAAGAUACUCAGCAUCACUAAUCACUGCAUGUGUGCUCAGCCACUUCAGUCGUGUCUGACUCUUUGUGACCCUGUGGACUGUAGCCCACCAGGCUCCUCUGUCCAUGGAAUUCUCCAGGCAAGAAUACUGGAGUGGGUUGCCAUGCCCUACUCCAGGGGAUCUUCCCAACCCAGGGAUCAAACCUGCAUCUCUUACGUCUCCUGCAUUGACAGGUGGAUUCUUUACCACUAGUGCCACCUGGGAAGCCCCACUAAUCAUUACAGAAUCAUUAUAGAAAUGUAAAUUAAAACCACAGUGAGAUAUCACCUCACACCUGUCAGAAUAGCUAUCAUCAAAAGUAUAGUACAGAUAACAAAUUUUGACAAGGACGUGGAGAAAAGGGAAUACUUGUGCGUUGUUGGCGGGAAUGUAAACUAGUGCAGCCGUUGUGGAAAACGGUAUGGCAGCGUCUCAAAAAAACUGUAUAUAUAUAUUGCUGUAUGACUCAGCAGUUCCACUCCUGGAUUUACAUCCAAAGAAAACAAAAACACUAAUUCAAAAAGACAUGCAUCCCGAUGUUCAUAGCAGCAUUAUUUGUAACAGCCAAGAUAAGGAAACAACCUACAUGUCCAUCAAUAGAUGAAUGAAUGAAGAAGAUGUGGUCCACGUAUACACAAUGGAACACUACCCAGCCAUACAAGAAGAAGGAAAUUCUGCCAUCUGCACCAACAUGAAUGGACGGCGGCACGCCAGGUUUCCCCUGUCCUUCACAAUCUUCUGGAGUUUGCUCAAACUUGUGACCACUGAGUCGGUGAUGCCAUCCAACCAUCUCAUCUUCUGUCAUCCCCUUCUCCUCCUGCCUUCAGUCUUUCCCAGCAUCAGGGUCUUCUCCAAUGGGUUGGCUCUUCGCAUCAGGUGGUCAGAGUAUUGGAACUUCAGCUACAGUCCUUCCAAUGAAUAUUCAGGGUUGAUUUCCUUUAGGAUUGACUGGUUUGAUCUCCUUGAUGUCCAAGGGAUUCGUCAAAUAUAUGUAGAAUCUAAGAAAUAAAGCAAACAAGUGUAUAACAAAACAGAUGCAGAGAACAAAGUAGUGGUUACUAGUGGGGAUAAAGAGGGGAAGGGGCAUGGGAUUAAGAGGUUCAAACUACUGUGUAUGAAAUAAAUAAGCAACAAGUAUAUAUUAUACAACACAGAGAAAUAUAGGCGUUAUUUUGUAAUACCAAAUGGAACAUAAUUUGUAAAAAAAUUGAAUUACUAUGUUGAACAUGUAUAACUAAGAAAAUACUGUAAAUAAACUAUACUUUGAUUUUUAAAGAAUUUUAAAAAA
Long non-coding RNA from Bos taurus (domestic cattle), 1687 nucleotides. The record is from Ensembl. Lineage: Eukaryota; Metazoa; Chordata; Mammalia; Artiodactyla; Bovidae.